GCGGCCCGGCUGAGCUCGGCGUGGGCAGCAGCGGCUGCGGUGCGAAGGCUCCGGCCUGCGGGAAGACGCUAACCGAGGCGGGGAGGGUCAAGCCAGCUGGCACGCUGCUGAGCGGGAGGGGCAGAGAGGCGCUGUAGGUCAUGGAGCCCAGGGGCGCCCCCACAGGCCCGCCUGCCAGGCCCAGCGCCGGCGAGCCGGUGCGCAUCUGGUUUAGCGUCGGCCUGCCCGGCUCGCCCGCGCCGAACGGGUUGGUGGGGGACGGAGCGCUGAGACCUGCAGAACGAGAGUGGCUUUGAGUGACCCGGGGUUCAGAGCCCUACACCGGGAGGUCGUGGAAGUUGGGAAGAAGAGUGGGCUCCUCCGGCGGAGGCUAGGCUCUGAAAGCAGGAGCCCCUGGGUUGAGGGACAAGGGCAUAUCUUACCUGUCAGGAAGGGGUUCCGGGUCUUUGCAACCUGGGGUGCCUUGACCAACGAGUCAAGGUUGACCAAGGAGGAAGCUGAGGGACCCAGGAAGGACUCGGGAGUCCGGCAAGCUCGGGCCUCUUUGCUUGGCUGGGUUAGUGCUUCCCCUAGUAUGCCCAGGUCCAGGGCAUCUGGCUCCUUCGUGCCAUUUUGCUUGGAACUGGGGCUGGGGUCUCCAAACAGGUCCAGCUCUGGAAUAGAAAUGCUAGAGCUAAUUGGUGGGGAAAGGGAUUGGCGCCCGACGUGGGAGGAAGAGGACAGAGGCUGCUCGGGGUGGGCCCCUCAUUCCCCAGAGCCUCACCAUCCCCUUGCCCUGCUCACCCACAGGGCUGCUGGGCUUCCCAGAGGGCAGGGCCUGCUCCAGCCCCUCCUUGGUCUCUGUGGAUUCUGGAGGUUUGGCAAAUGGGUCAAAGGUCGAGGCACCACCUCGGAAGAGAGAGAGGAAGAGGAGAUGGGUUGACAAAAAGGGCAGGUGUUGGUCUGACCCCUUUCCAGAGAAGCUGUCCUCCUAACACAAACAGUAUCUGCUGCCCCUUGGCCCUGCCUGGAAGUCCCCCAGCUCCUCACUCACACUCUCUGGCCCUCUUCUUACCAGGUGUGUCGGAGGUCUCCAGGGAGGCUCCCCAAGGGUCAGCCCCAGUGCUGGGGAGUUUGUGGUGGGGAGAGUUCAGGGCCCAGGGGUCUGUGGUGGGGGGCCCAGCAGGCAGCACUGGGGUCCUGCCCCAGGGCUCAGAGGAGGAGAGCAUGGGAGUCAGAUCCCAGGGCUGGCUUCGGGACAGGACGGUUCCUGAGGGGAUCGGAGACCAGGGGUCUGCAGAAGGCCCCCAGGAGGAUCCACUGGCCUCUGUGUUCGGCCUAAAACCUGAAAUGGGAACAGCAUAGACAUGAUCCCAGGCCCACCCUUAUCCCUCGCCCAGGGCCCUUCCCAGUUACCCAGCCCAAGUUGGGAGGCAGAAGAUCCAUGUCACAGAUGGCCUGCAGCCUCAGGACCACCCAGCAGGCUGGAGCCCCUAUUUGACAAGUGACCCCAGGAACUGGGACCUGCAGGUGUGGGCGACUCAGGCCACCUUCCCAGGCGUGCUGAGCAAGUGAGUGCAGCGAGAGAACAUUUUGCUGCGUUUCCUAGGAGCUGGGCCCUUCAGACAUUCUCCAUAGCCCUCACUACGAAAGCCUGUCCCACAGGCGGCGGAGGCUCAAGGUGAUACCUAUUCAUGAUCCCUCACCUCUGCACAGUGCUUUACAGUUUAUAAUGUUUCUUCAUCCACAGAGUACCUGAUUUUCAUAACAACCCUGUGAGGCUCUCUGUCCCGCUGAUGGUGGACCACGGCCCCUGCACCAUUGGCCAUGGGGGAGCCAUCACCCUGCCAGGACCUCACCUCCUGCAGAAGGCACAGAAAGAGUUAGGAGCAUGAGCAGCUCAGGCGGGAAUCCGGGGACCUGUGCACCAGAGGCUGGAGUCGAGAGAGUGCAGGGUGGGAGGCAGCUGAGAGGUUAGGAGCAGCAGGGCCACCGGGUACAGCGGGAGGAGGCUGUUAGUGCCCUGAAGCACCUCCACCAGCAGCAGCAGCAGCACCGGCAGCCCAGCGGGCUCGGCCCACUACCUUCUCGUGCUCCUGCCGGCUCAGGCGCAGAGCCAGCUGCAGCUGCAGGUCCUCGUCCCUGUGGGAGGCUGGGGGGACAGGCUGCGGAGGAAGAGAGGGGUAAACUUGGCCCUGUACCCCCACCUUGGGACCAGAAGGGCAGUAUAGGCCUGCCUGGGUCAUGGGGAUGGAGACACUAAUGCCCACCCUCAGUGUGCAUGGGCCAUUUGCCGCUCAGUCAGCAGGGUGGGCGUGGCCUUCUCCCUGCCUGCAUCUGAAAUGCAGUUUAAAGGUCAGGAAGACUGAUCUUUCGCUUCUGAAUCCUCUGAGAGUUCCUCAGGCCCUCCUGUGUGAGGCCCAGCUGCUUCCUGCCUGGUCUUCCUGGAUCCACAGAGGUAAUGGCAAAGAUGAUGAUAUCGGGGGCCUGUCCUUGUCUCCCCAAAAGGAUAGCUGGUGGGCGGGGGUGGGAAGCAUAUCCCAGUGUCUCCUAGGAAUAUGUCUGAGCACACUCACCCACUCCACCAUGAGGUGGUAGCAGGCACCCCAAGACAUAGCAUGUGCCCCUAAUUGUACACUCGCCACCCUUUCCAGGCCCAGUGGAGAGGACUGGAGGCAGGGAGGCAGUCCCUGCCUGCGACAAACCGACAGAGAUAAUGGGUCUUGUGCUGUCCUUGGGCACAGGACUGGGGCUUUGGGUGACAGAGCCUGAGUCAAGGCCAAGGGGCUCCCAGGCACUCUCUCCCCCUAGCCCAUCCCCUCCCCACCGCAGUGGGGCUGCAUGGCCUCACCUUCUCUGCCUCCUCACGGCUCAUGGCGAGGGCCAGCUGCAGCUGCAGUUCCUCUUCCCCUGACGUCUGAGGCCGGGCCUGCUCCAGGUCGGAGGUAUAGCGGGGUGACGAAGAGGAGGCUGCAAUGACCAUCAUGUCUCUGUGACCACACGAUUACCCAUCGGCUCCCACACCCCUCUGCCUGCCAGGAAGCUGAGGCUCAAGAGAACUGAGAGGAGGGGAACAACGGCCGUUGAGGCCCCCGUGGGCCAAGCAGUGUGCCAGGCACUCUGUAAGUUCCCCAUCCCAACCCAUCCCGGAUGGAGGGGCGGCUCCAGUCCCUCCUUAGCAGAUGCACAGGCGGCACUUAGGGCCCCUGACCAGGUUCCUGAAGCAGGACUUGAACCCAGGUGCCCUGACUCCAGCUCUUGGACUUCCAGAUGGACCCUGUCCUGGCUUGGGGGCAAGGGAGGUGCAAGGAUAGGAGGUUCUAGUCCAACGAGGUCACAACCUCAAAGCCCUCAGCAAACUGUCAAGGGCUUUAUGGAAGGCGGGCCAUUCUGAGUAUUCCUCAGAUCCUGGAAGCCCCCAUGACUGGGGGCAGGAGAGUCAGGGACUGUCUAGCCGCUGCCCUCAGGUAGGGGGAUGAAGGGGAAUGCCAUGUGUCUGGGUGCAGGGUAGAGGACGUUCCUGAACCUGGUCUCAUUUCAUUCUCAGAUCAAACAAUGGAGGUAGGUGAGCUUAUCCCCACUGUACAGAUGAGGAAACUGAGGUUCAGAGAACUGGUUGCCCAGGUCACACAGCUUGGAGGAAGCAGAAUAUAGAAUGCUAUCUGACUCCAAACCCAUGCUUCCACUAUCGCGCCAUCCUAUCAGGCAGCUAACGAAUGAUAAUGAAUCUAUAACAACGUUAUUAUCUGAGCUAACUUGUUGAGCACCUCCUAUGUGCCGGGUGUUGCGCCUUGCGUGUUACAUUCCUUAUGUCUGAAUCUUCAUAACACCCCUCGGAGGUAGGUAUUAUGAACCAUGGCUUGGAUUGCAGAGCCAGGAAUGGAAGUCGGGCCACCUCCCCAUCCCAGCCACACACCGGGGCUUACUCACAGUUGUAGGAGGACGGGGAGCCCCGGGAGCGGCUGUAGUCCUCGCCGUAGCGGCGGCUGAAGCCCAGCUGCCCACUGCCAAUGCCGAUGCCCUCCAGUGCCAUGCGCUCCUUGGUCUUGAGGGCGUGGGUUCGCUCCUGCCGCAGCCGCUCCUCAUCCUUGAGCAGGGCCAUCACCUGCUUGACCUUCUCGCGCACGUUGACGCCCUGGUCCUUGCCGUCGCGGUCGAUGUACUGGAAGUCCUUGAGUGUCUGGAUGGUGUAGAGGUUCUCGCGGCACUGGUGGGCCACCCGCUCGGAGCCCGUCUUGAGCAGGUAGUCCAGCAAUGUUAGAGCCUUGUACACGUGCCGCCAGUUCUUGCCGCUGUCAUUGAGCCGCCGCCACAGCAUGCCCAUGACUUCGGUGAAGGCCACUGUGUUGAAGGUCAGGUCAGCGAUCUCGGACAUGAGCGAACUAGGGGGGCCCCAGGGGUCAUUGCUGGUGGCCUCGCGCACCUUGAUUUCUGCCUCGGAGUAGUUGUGCACGAUGUUCUUCACCUGGCGCCGGAGUGCGGAGGUCGUCAUGGCUGGAGACUUGGAGGUGGGUGGCCCUCGCCCCCGCCGGAGGUGGAGGGCUGAGGGCCACUGUGGCGAGGUCACAGUCUUGAAGGAUGGGCUGCCGUGUUAGCAGAGCAGCUGCAUCCUUGGGUUCCACAUGGGGCUGAGGAAGAGAGGGCCAGGAACUCAGGGGCAGAGGCCUACCUCAUGGGUCACUCAGCCACUGACCAACUAAAUGAGGCCUGGCCAGAGUGUCCCUGCCUCCAGGGACAGCCUUCAGCGGCACACGUUCUUAUUUCACUUACAAUUCAGCAGGCACUUGGAGCUUUGCAUGCUCAUCUAUCUAUCUUCACAGCCACACCCCAAAGAUGCUAUUAUCAUUACCUCCAUCCACAGAUGGGAAAGGUGGGGCUCAGAGUAUUAAAUGGGCCCGGUGCAGUGGCUCACGCCUGUAAUUCCAGGACUUCAGGAGGCCAAGGCAAGAGGAUCACUUGAGGCCAGUAGUUGGAGGCUGCAGUGAGCCAUGGUCAGGCCACUGGGCAACAGAGCGAGACCCUGUAAUAUUAAGUGACUUGUCCGAGAUCACAGAGCUGCUGCAUGGGGAACCAAGAUGACCCCAGGAAGCCCCACCUAAGAGUGCAUGGCCUCAUGGGGGAACGCUAACAGGAUUCCAGGAAUGCCCGCUUGCCUUGCUUCUGCUCGGCCACUGCCUCUGUUUCUGCUGAGAUCUAGCUUAAGACCUAUCCUUCCUAGCUCCUCAGCUCACUUUUCUCAUAUUGUUAAUUUUUGUAGUUUGAUGCAUUCAACACCUAUUUCCCGGAGGCCUUUUCUGAGCCAGGCACCAUGCCAGGCACAGAACACACGCCUUGGUCCACCCACGUUCAGUUGAGAGGGUACAGAAAAUCACAGUCCAGUGUGGGAGUGCAGAGCCGCACAGGAAGACCCAAGCCAGGAAAAUCAGGGGAGACUUCCUAGAGGAGGUGGUGACAGAGCUGAGAUCCAAGAUCACAAGGGAAGAGUAAGGAGGAGUGAACCAGCAAGUCAGGGGAGGGCGGCUCAGAAGAAAUGCUAUGACCUGGGCCAGAAGGCAAGAGAGCAAGUAUCGUUUGAGGAAGACUGCCCCUCAGAGUUCUGGCCACUGCCAACACUCCUGCAUGCCACCCCCACGUACACAUGGAAGUGUUGAGGCCAGAGAGGGGAUGGGACCUGCCUGCAUCAUAUGGCACGUAAGUGGCAGAGCCUGGACUACCAUCCAGGACUCCAGAAGACUAAUCCAAUUCUUAUUGUCAGUGUUACCCAGUUUGGUCAUUAUUUCAUCGGAUUGCUUUACUGUCUCAGUCCCACCUUCUCAGCUAGAAUGGAAGCUCCCUGAGAGUAGGAACAGUCUGGGUUCUCCAAAGCCCCAAAACGCUGGACACAUAGUGGACCUCUGGUACCCCAGCAGGGAGAAGAGCUGGGCCAGCCCAAUUCCCCCCAGUAGCCACAGGUCCAGGCUAUCUGCUGAAUACAACUCCAGGCCCAAGGUCCUCCCAAAGGCCCUUUCAGAAACCAAAAGAGGAAUUCCCUGACCACCACCAUUCCUCCCACACUAGCACUGGUGUGUGCAUGCACACACACACUGUCUGGGCCUGCAGAGCCUCCACUUCACCCGUGAACUGUCCCCCACCCACCAAACACCUUUCGGCUCCACCCUCCAUCCCAGCCCGUGCCCCAACUGGUCCCCAGGCUGCCAGAAGCAGGAAUCUGAAGGAGACUGUCCUCUCGCACCCGAUUCCACGCUCCUUCCACCCCAGCCCCGCCAGUGCUGGGCUCAGUUCAAAGCAGCCCCACGCUUUGAAAACAUGCCUUGGCAGGUUUUGUUGGGGGCCCAGAGAAUAAGAUACCGUGGGAGUGGGCGAGGUGGAGAGUGCCUGGCCCACAGCGCAGCCUACCUUUUGUCUGCUAUCUCUUUCCUUCCAGCGGGUCGUGGGCCUUCUGUGGGAAUGCCACGGCCACAACUUGUUUAACUCCUGCCCUCCCCCUUGCUAGUGACUCAGACCUGCCUUCACCUCCCCAACCCGUGGCUGGGGGUGGCAGAGUCAAGAUGGGAAAUAAUGUGCACCAAAGCCCGCCCAGCACACGCCCCUACCGGCUGGCCGCUGGAACUAGCAGAACCAGUCGGGCACUGUGACUGCACCAGAGCCCUACCUGGACCUGGCUGCCCUGGCCCUCCGGCCUGGCCUGUGUGGGGGCACCAGCCUCUGGGAGGGGACUCUCGGUGUGGGCCCAGCGGCCCUGCCUGGACCUUUCUCACAGAAGGUGGGCAUUCUCUGCACACCCCUGCAGGGGCUGGGGGGAAGGGCGGGGCCAGAAACAUGGGGAGGCACCUUGAUUUUCCUUCUCUGGAGUUUGAGGGGACAAGGUGAGGCUGCCCAAGCACAGAGAAGGGAGGAGGAAAGGAAGAAGCCUGCCCAAGCGCAGAGAAGGGAGGAGGAAAGGAAGAAGCCUGCCCAAGCGCAGAGAAGGGAGGAGGAAAGGAAGGAACGCGGGAACGCGGGAGGGAGCAGCUGGGAGCGCUGCCAGCAGUGUUACAAGCAAAGGGUUUUAUCGAACACGAUAUGCCCAGAAAUAAAAGGGAGUGUAACAGAAACCCAGCGGCCGAUAAGGCGGUGGCGGUAGCAGCAGCAGCCCUGGGCAGCUGGGUAUGGAAUUACUGCAGUGACCUUGAGCCAGACCCUGUCAGGUGGAGGGAAGGGCACAGAGAGGGCAGGGCCUGAGAAUUCAGAGAUGACGAGAGGGCAGAGGAGGGAGGAAGCUGAGGGGAUGGGAGCAGGGCCAGCAGGCGGUGGGAUGGGCCACGGGGCACGGAGUAUCAGCUCUCUCCUGCAUACAGGGUCCCAAGGAGAACUGCGCAGUAGGGAGGGGCUGCUCUUCUCAGGGCCUGCAGGAUGGGGGGAUCUGGAGAGUUUCCCAAAAGUCAGGACCGAAAAAUGCAGAUCGCUCAUCCCCAGCAAGGGUUUCGGAGAGAUGGAGAGAACCCAGAUCUGUCCAGUCACACGUGCAUGAGUUUGCGUAAAGUCUGUGCACCCACCAGCCCAGCCCACACCCUCUUCCCGUCCUCUGCUAAGGUGGGCUCCAGCCCCUGCCUCCAAGUCAGAUCCAGCCUGAGCAGUGGGGAAUGACAGUGCCCUUCUUGAUGCUGUAAGGGACAGGGGGUGAGCUUGAACUCUAAGCUUCUGGCCACUGUAAUAGCUGCAUCCCGGGAGCACAGAAGAUGGGGGAGGGGGGACUGCCCUGAGGCUAGAGGUGUGCAUGAGGGGCUGAAGAAGAGGAAACAGCAGAGAUGUGCAGAAGGAGUCUGUGGGGAAUGCCACCAAAGAUGCUAAGAUGCCACCAAAGAUGCUAAGUCCCAGGAUGGUUGGGGAGGGGGCCCUGAGUCCCUUUUUGGGGGCGGCAGGGAGGGAGGGGUGGCAGGAAAGAAGCCUUUAGGUCCUCUACAGCUCAGCCUUCUCCCUCGCACCUGGAAAAGAGACUAAGCCCCAGAACCACUGUUUGCUCCCCACCAACCCCCGCCUUCCAUGCCGCCACUGCCAGGGAGGGGGCCAGGGAGGAAGCUUACCUCCAGUGCGGGCUCCCUCGGCCCCAGCCCCAGCCCGAGUAGCCUCUGCGGUGACCCUCCGACCUGUGCAGCAGCGGGACGGCACAGCCUCGGGAGCGUCUCCAGAGCCAUCCACCAUGGACCCUCGUCCCAGAGACCCACCUGCUCCCAGGAGGUGCAGACCCCUCAGAGGGGCAGCGGCAGGGUCCCUGGAAUGGGUAGCAGCUCUUCCCGCGUGCGUUUGCCUCCUAGCCAGCGCCAGGCAGCACUCCGAGGAAAGUUGCUCAGCUGGCCCGGCAGGUCUGCCUCAGCAGUAACAGGACACAGGAGGAAGUGCAGGGCAGGUUAACCCCUUCCUGCUGGCCAGGCAAGUGGUGCAUUGAGAGGUGGGGGGCCUGCCUGUUGGCCGCCCCCAGGAAGUGCACAUCUGGAGCCAGUGCUGGCGACCUGAUCCCCUCUGCUUUGAGUUAACCCUUCCCCUGCCUCUUCAACAGGAAAGGAGGGGGGCUCCAACACCCCCACCACACCCCUCCCCUUCCUCCUCUGGGCCGGGAGGACAUUAAAGGAGAGGGCAGGGACAUUCCCUGGGGCUGGCUCUUUGGUGGAGCCCCCGUCUUCUCGUCUUCUUGGGGAGGAGAGCAUCAGGACUCCAGCACAGCCCCCUCCCUGCCUUUCCCACACGGAGUCAGAUCCUUCUGUCCAUCCUCCCCCUCCUGCAUCUCAGCUGGAGGAUGCCUGAGGCCCACUUAAGGAUGCCCACCCACCCAAAAACCAAAGUUGUUCUUCAAACUCUGGGAGCCUGGAGUGCUCUUCACACAGGGAGCCCAGCCCCAAAUGGUUAUGACUGACAGAAGACAAUGAGGGGCCUGAGUUUGAGCUGACAAUACCUUUUUUUCUGAGAGCCAUUUCUAGCCUGUUUCAUGUUCCCCUGAGCAAGGGAGGUAGCAUGAAGAUCAGCAGCUGUUUUUAAGGCAGAAAGAUGGCUCAAGGCCAGAUAGUUUGAGAUGAGGAGGGGGAUAAGGCAGACUAGACCCCGAAAUAACAAGGUGAUGUGGCCUCUAGAGCUGAAGAGGUGUGGUGAGCAUGAUCUUCAGGGACUGAAUUGGGGCCCUGGGACCCAGCUGAAGAGGGGAGAUGGCAGGGAGCCAGGUCCCAUGGGUCUAGUUCUACUCCUCAUCUCACACUUUGUCAUACUUGGUGAUGACACUUCGGGAAGACCUGGCUCCAGGAAGCACGACCCUGAAAGUGUGGGCCAAGGAAGCCAGAGGCAGGGACUACCAGAGGUGACACACUGUCCUGUCACCUGACUCCUUGUCUUGCUACCAAUCUGCUCCUCUGCUUGGCAUCCCACACAUCACUUCCCCAGCUAUGUCUGUCUGUCCUCCUGCAGGAGGGCUCUGGCAGCUGGCAGGAGGGGAUCUGAGGGCAGGUGGAACAUGGGAGGACCUGGAUCAGGAGCUGACCUAGCCAAGAUCCAUCAUGCAAGACACAGAGGCACACGGAAGUAGUAGAAACUUGAAGGUUCUUUAUUGAUUUAUUUAUUAACCCGUUUUCCAGAAGGUUGCUUGGGCCCGAGAGUCACCUGCAGAGGCGCAAAGCCUCCUCGACAUUCUUUAUGGGGCUGAGCUCAUCAGCCAGGACCAUCAGGUCAGUCACCAGGGUGUCCAGCAGCCCACGGACCUGGAAGAACGGGACAACAUCACAGGCAGAGUUUACUCUGUGGGAAGCACCUAUAUAUGAACUAUGCUGUGAGAGAAUAGCUGGAGAGGGGAAAGAAACCAGUUGUUUGUGAAAGAAUUUCACAAGUUCAAAGUUCUUGUGAAAUAAUUUUUGGUUUUGCAGAUUUUUUUUUUUUUUGACAGGAUCUCACUCUGUCACCCAGGCUGGAGUCCAGUGGUGUGAUCAUGGCUCACUGCAGCCUUGACUUCCCUGGCUCAGGUGAUUCUCCCAUCUCAGCCUCCCAAGUAGCUGGGACUACAGGCGUGCACCACCAGACCUGGCUACUUUUUUCUAUUUUUUGUAGAGAUGGGGUUUCAC
RNAcentral lists this long non-coding RNA (10058 nucleotides) under Homo sapiens (human). Its description in RNAcentral is "HSALNT0390595". The record is from RNAcentral. Lineage: Eukaryota; Metazoa; Chordata; Mammalia; Primates; Hominidae.